AUCCAGCUGACGAAUCCCCAAUGGGACGAAGUGUGCAUCCAGGAU
Molecule: non-coding RNA, 45 nt
Filed under: Schistosoma margrebowiei
Lineage: Eukaryota; Metazoa; Platyhelminthes; Trematoda; Strigeidida; Schistosomatidae
Source: RNAcentral